Molecule: long non-coding RNA, 1580 nt
Organism: Mercenaria mercenaria
Lineage: Eukaryota; Metazoa; Mollusca; Bivalvia; Venerida; Veneridae
Exons: 3
Source: RefSeq, a predicted model, not a curated record
UGUUCGAGAGGGUUCUUUCUCUCGCUGCACAAGCGUCGAGUUCCCUCACUUGCUAACGUUAACAUGUAGGAUUUAUACAUUGUUAAUAUGUACAUUGUAUAUUAGUUGGGAUAAGACACAGGAUGUUUAUUGUUUGAGAGCGGUAUCGAUUUCACUUAACUUAAUCGAAUCGAAUCCGAUUAACCGAGCAAUCGUCCCAGUGAAAUAAUUAUUUCAUCACGGACAGGCACCUGGUAAGAACUGCAGACCUUCAGUAAGCCAGCUGGAUGGCUUCGUCAUAUGAAGAAUUCAACGCCCACGAGUGAGACUCGUACCAACAUCGUUGAGGAGCAAGUGGUUCAAGGUAGACAAUGGAAUGGAAAAGAGUGGGGAAAGUACUUUUUUUCUUGAUCGGACUUGGCGUUACUAUUGCCGGGGUAGUCUUUGACUGGAUUAAUUUCAAAGAACUGCGUCGGAAUCAACAAAAGAUUGAAAAAACUGGACUUAAUAGAUGUGACACUGGAGUCGAAGUAUAUCCUUGGCUUUUCGUGGCAUUCGUAAUAGGGAAAAUGGUUUUUACUUUGUUGGAGAGUAUAUGUAACGGCAUUUCACUACGUGAAGACGAUGAUGAACUAAACACUGCAGACACAGUUUCUUUGAUUUUCAGUUUCAUAACAGCCACAUUUCAGUUCUUAGAUUUGCUUAUAUUGGUGAUAUUUUCAUUUGCAUGUCUCCAGCCAGAAGGUUUAAAUGUUUUUCAUGAACUGAUAAGUGAUGUUCUGCAUGAUUUCUUGGCUGGUCUCUUUGGAACAACUGGUGUUGUAUUGAACCUUACAGUAAAGAAGAACUUCUCAGCAGUUGCUAAAGUGUUAAAAUCCAUCUGGUGUAAAUCAGGUGAAAUACCCAAAACCUUUAGAGUUUUCUCAGUUCUCCAGCUGAUUUGUGCCUUAUUUUGUAUCAUUCUUGCAAUUAUAUUACUUGUUAACUACACUACAGUGAACAGUUCGCCUAAUGAUGCCGAAACACUUGAAGGAUCAUAAUUAUGCUUCGCUUUACAAUGUGACUGCCACAUUGUUUUAAAAUGAAUAUAUGAGCCGCGCCAUGAGAAAACCAACAUAGUGGGUUUGCGACCAGCAUGGAUCCAGACCAGCCUGCGCAUCCGGGCAGUCUGGUCAAAAUCCAUGCUGUUCGCUUUCAAAGCCUAUUGCAAUUAGAGAACCCGUUAGCGAACAGCAUGAAUCCUGACCAGACUGCGCGGAUGCGCAGGCUGGUCUGGAUCCAUGCUGGUCGCAAACCCACUAUGUUGGUUAUCUCAUGGCGCGGCUCAUAUAAUAAAUAUUUUUCUUGUGAAAUCCUGUUUUCGAUCAUUGUUUUCUCAUACAUUUAUCAUAGAUUUGAAUAUUAGACUUAAAUUAUAGAAAUAGCACAGUAUCUUUUGUUUUAUUACCUUCUUUUAAGGCUCUGGCGGUAUAUGUUCAAGUGGAAUAUUGAAUCACCUUAGUGCUUUUCUAACCAUGUCAUUUUGCACAUUCUUUAUUUGAACAGCUGCUUUAUCCGUUUAGAGAAUAAUAAUUAAAAACCUUAUGGACGUUGAAGCAAUA